CCAGUUUUAAUAUACGGUGUUUGCAUCGGUUUACUGGCUAUUGAUUCGUUGUUUCGAUACGAGGCAGAAAUACAUGUAUGUAGAUAGACGUACUUUCAUACUCGUAUCACUUUGACAAAAACUGUUUAAUAAAAUUAUUCGCGCACGGUUAUCCAGGAACGGCUUCGCCGAUUUCGUACACAAAGGGUGGCCUUUUUUAUUUCACCAAGAAUAUUCCAAAUUUAAAAAGUUUUUUAAAAAGAAAUAAAUGUUUUUAUAGGUCUUUCAAAUUUUCGUAAUAUGAGGUUGGCAGAAUAUGAUCGAACGCAUGAUUCUCGUAAGUUUUUCCCCCUUAUAAUCGAAAUCACGAAAUAGCGCAAGCUCCUAUCGUAAAAUCGCACACCGAACAUAUUUUUCAUAAAGCUUUCAGAGGCGCGGUCCGAUUCGCAGCAUUAACGCCGCCUCCGUUAAUCCAUGGAAUUGUGGUGGAGAAUACGACUCAAUAUUUGCUUGGCUGUAGACCGGCUUAUCUGUUGUACGUCAUUCAUCGUGAUUGAAAAAGAAAUCAGCCGUUCGCUGACUAAAUUUACUUGCUUAACAUUUUAAAUCCCGUUUAAUCAAGUCUUGUAUCUUUUGUUUCCACAUAAUAACAGACUGCAUUAUCUUUUCGUAAAGCCGACGGAUGUGAUUCACUCGAGAAUUUUGAUAUCGCAGCUAAUUAACAUCGAUUUAUACAUACGUAUAUCCGUUACGGAGCUGUCGUUCCGCCUGGGUUCAGGUGGUACCAAAGAUAUUGCCGGAGCAUAAUACGAUACAUCGCGGUGGAAUAUCGGCACGCUUGAAUUUGCCAACAUAGUGAAACGUAUCGUUGCGAGGUAGAAACUAUUGACGAGCGCUCGUCAUUGAAACGAUCUCGUGCAGAGUGAAAAUGGGAAAUAAUCAAUUAGGCAAUUUAAAUGACGCGAGUACGGAAUUGAAAAGAGCACCGUGAAACAAAACGCCGAGCACCCAACUGUCAGCACUGCAAAUUGCCCCUGAAGUAAUAAACAUAUUUGUCUCAGAAAUUGCGUACCAAAGGCAUUGAAGAGACACGGUCGAUGCCACCAACGUCUGUGCCAUGCGCAAGGAAUCCAACUGUACAUCGGAAGCAUUGAGAUGACAAUAAUAUGUUCUGAUCCGGUCGCAGCUGUUCUCCGAGACGUAAUUAGAACGUUAAAUUAAUGAAAUUUCAUUAUCGAGAAAGCAGUGCAAUGGAGGAAAGGAGAAACAGUCGGAUGCAUAAAGGAUACCGACUAUAUCCAGUGCGAACUCUUUUCGAGCGCUGUACGAUUUGGUUAGAAUUUUUCAUUCACUCCAUCGCACAAGGCCCUGUUAUAGAAAUACCGUCCCAGGUUACCAUGGAUAAUCUCUACUGCUGGCUCUACGGAAUGGGUGUGCAAAAUUUAAACUCAACGGACUGCAACCGGACUUGCAAGGCAAACGGGACCAGCAGAGUCUGCGUUUACACAUUCGUCCUCGAGCACUAUCACGCCAUGGGUUCUGCUUGUGGAAACUGCUCUCGUGGCGUCCUGGAGGACUGCAUGCACCCGCAGUGCAUCACUGGAGACGGUACAGAGCGCGGUCUGAUGUCUAUCAACAGGAUGGGAAUCGGGCCAAGCAUUCAGGUUUGCCUCGGAGACCUCGUCGCCGUCAACGUCAAGAACCAAAUGGGUGGCACGGAGUCGACCAUCCAUUGGCACGGCAUACUCCAGGAGGGAACCCAGUGGAUGGACGGAGUGCCGAAGAUCACUCAGUGCGGCAUACCGGAGAGCAGCAGCUUUCGAUACGUUUUUUUUGUCAACGAGUCCGGGACCUACUUCUAUCACAGUCACACAGGUUUCCAGAAAACCAACGGACACAACGGAGCGCUGAUAGUGAGGCGGCCGAUCAGUGACGAACCGGCAAGGAAAUUGUACUCCGAGGAUAAAUCCGGUCACGUGAUGGUUUUGACGGACUACAUGCACGAGUAUGCCGAAUUGUUCUUCCCCGGGCUUUUAACCAGAAAUCCGGGAAUAGCACCGGCCACCUUUUUGAUCAACGGUCUCGGCCGAUGGCGUGACCCGGCAACGAAUCGGACGACCCAGACACCCUUGGCUACUUUUCACGUCCAGGCCGGAAUCUCUUACCGUAUGAGGAUCAUCAACGCCGCCAGUAUGAUUUGCCCGAUGCAAUUGCAGAUCGAAAAUCACACCAUGACCGUCAUCGCUACCGACGGAAGUGACGUUCAACCUAAGACCGUCGACGCGUUGGUUUCCCAAUCGGGUGAACGUUUCGACAUCGUUCUCAACGCUAGUCAAACGUCCGGUGCUUACUGGAUCUAUGUCAGGGGACUGUUCGUCUGCAACGAGGUCGAUCGCGUCGACCAGGUUGGGGUUUUGUCCUAUGGUACCGCAGAUAACGCGACGGGGAUUUAUCCUGAAACACCGGAGCCCACGCAGGAUAAUCCUCUUCCAUUCGAAAUUCGUCUUAAUUACCCGAACGCGUCGUGCGAGGCGUCAACGACUGAAAUUUGCGUGAGCGAGCUGGAGGGAUACGAAGACUCGUCGCCGUCGGACAUCCUCGGCGAAACGAACAUCACACGGAUGAACGUUACCUUUGGGUACUGGGAAUGGACAGUGGAAACGCUGCACGGAACAAUCAAUCACCCAACAACGGAGUUCAACCCAUUCCAACUGAGGCCUCCGGUGAUAUUGGAAACCGGAAUAAUGAACGGCAUCUCGAACGAAUUCCCCGACACUGUAAUGAUGCUGAACAGAAGCUCAAACGCGAGCUUUUGCAACGAGCAAAACAAACCCUCCAAGUGUGCAAAUGGCAGUUUUUGCAUCUGCACCCACGUCAUAGAAUUACCGUACAAGGCUAACGUGGAAUUGGUCUUGUCGGAUAUCAAUGCUCUUUCUUUUCCACCGCUGUCCCACCCUUUCCAUUUACACGGCUACAAAUUCUACGUUAUGGAAAUAGCGCGCAGCAACGAAUCGCUGACGAUGACGGGGUCGCAGAGUCCAAAUAAAAUUCCCCCGCUCAAGGACACGGUUCUUAUACCCCAAAACGGUUCGACGAGGAUUAGAUUUUACACUGGAAAUCCAGGCGACUGGCUUUUCCACUGUCACUUCGAGUGGCACAUGUCAAUUGGAAUGUCGGUUGUCUUCAGAGUCCAUGGUUCCGUUCCCCCACCACCUGAAAACUUCCCGAGAUGCGAGAGCUUCGAUCCAAUUGCUCCAUGUAAUCGGAACUGCUCCUCCAACUAGGCAAGGUCUCCAACUUACCACCGCCUGGUUUAUUACCUCUUGCACCUGAAACCUGCGAGGUUCUUGACGCCGGACCAAUUUGUGAUUGAAAUACUCAAGAUGUGAGAGAGACGCACAGAGGAAAGGGAAAGCGAAUAUUGAAAAAAUGAAGGAACCAUCUGUAGAAUGAGGCAACAACUUUCAAGCCGUGUUGUUAUCCGGAGAUGGUUCGAUGUAUUUUUGACGAUACUUUCCGUCCGGAUCAUACUUUCCACAAAGCUGAUCCCACUCGUCCUGCCGGUUUUCUCUGAAAUUCAAAUAAACAGCAUUAAUCGAGAAUUUUCUCCCUCCUCCCUCCCUCACACACACAUACAAAUGCUGUUUUCUUCACGCACAUCUUGACAUCCACCUCUGACUUGUAAAUCUGUCAUUAAUUUCUGCAGUUCAUGUAUUAGUUGGUAAAACUUGUUAUUGCAUUAAAAAUCAAGCUACUGGAGUGGAAAGAUUGUUGCUCGAUUGUCGUGACAUGGCUUCAAGGUGAACCCACUGAACUCUGAACGCAUUCUCGACUUUUCGGUUUUGCGUAGCACUACCUAACUGAUUAUUCCUGAGACCGGCGCUGGAGCGAUGACACGUUAAUCGGCACGAUUCAAAAAAUAAAACAAAUGAAGAUAAAGUGGUUUACGCGUUUCAAGUUUUUCAAAAUAAUCCGACCUAAAAUGAAAAGCCUCGAAGCCUCAUAUAAAUCGUUUUAUGAUGCAAAUGUACGAAUUUGGAUCCGGAAAA
This 4028-nucleotide unclassified non-coding RNA is filed under the name Neodiprion lecontei (redheaded pine sawfly). Its description in RNAcentral is "laccase-2, transcript variant X4". Lineage: Eukaryota; Metazoa; Arthropoda; Insecta; Hymenoptera; Diprionidae. The record is from RNAcentral.